AGAGUUUGAUCAUGGCUCAGGACGAACGCUGGCGGCGUGCUUAACACAUGCAAGUCGAACGGAAAGGCCCUUCGGGGUACUCGAGUGGCGAACGGGUGAGUAACACGUGGGUGAUCUGCCCUGCACUUUGGGAUAAGCCUGGGAAACUGGGUCUAAUACCGAAUAUGACCAUGCGCCUCCUGGUGUGUGGUGGAAAGCUUUUGCGGUGUGGGAUGGGCCCGCGGCCUAUCAGCUUGUUGGUGGGGUAAUGGCCUACCAAGGCGACGACGGGUAGCCGGCCUGAGAGGGUGACCGGCCACACUGGGACUGAGAUACGGCCCAGACUCCUACGGGAGGCAGCAGUGGGGAAUAUUGCACAAUGGGCGCAAGCCUGAUGCAGCGACGCCGCGUGAGGGAUGACGGCCUUCGGGUUGUAAACCUCUUUCAGCACAGACGAAGCGCAAGUGACGGUAUGUGCAGAAGAAGGACCGGCCAACUACGUGCCAGCAGCCGCGGUAAUACGUAGGGUCCGAGCGUUGUCCGGAAUUACUGGGCGUAAAGAGCUCGUAGGUGGUUUGUCGCGUUGUUCGUGAAAACUCACAGCUUAACUGUGGGCGUGCGGGCGAUACGGGCAGACUUGAGUACUGCAGGGGAGACUGGAAUUCCUGGUGUAGCGGUGGGAUGCGCAGAUAUCAGGAGGAACACCGGUGGCGAAGGCGGGUCUCUGGGCAGUAACUGACGCUGAGGAGCGAAAGCGUGGGGAGCGAACAGGAUUAGAUACCCUGGUAGUCC
RNAcentral lists this ribosomal RNA (771 nucleotides) under uncultured bacterium. RNAcentral's name for it is "bacterial SSU rRNA". It matches the Rfam family "Bacterial small subunit ribosomal RNA", at positions 8 to 796 of the family's 1533-position model. The record is from RNAcentral.